Molecule: long non-coding RNA, 315 nt
Filed under: Sorghum bicolor (sorghum)
Lineage: Eukaryota; Viridiplantae; Streptophyta; Magnoliopsida; Poales; Poaceae
Description: long non-coding RNA (SBIC_LNC005045)
Source: RNAcentral
GGAUAUUCCACCGACCUAUUGGAUCGAGAAAAACAUAGUACCACCUCGGCUAUCGACCCAAAAACGCAUAGAAGGGGAGGACUAUAUAAGCAAGGCCCCCCUGGCCCCUGGAGAAGACAUGGAGAAAUUAUCAUAGAGACUGAGGGGUGCCCUCGAAGGAAAACCUCUUCUCUAAUUAAUAUUUCUUUUUAGGCUUAGCAAUCAAUGUAAGGUAGAAAUAGAUCUUCUAGUUUCUACUAGAUUGAGAGAGAUAGAGUGGAGGUGUUGAUUGGAGAAAGCCCGGCCUGUCGGUGUCUACUCCAAGCUUGUACCUGC